Molecule: ribosomal RNA, 2987 nt
Filed under: Salmonella enterica
Lineage: Bacteria; Pseudomonadati; Pseudomonadota; Gammaproteobacteria; Enterobacterales; Enterobacteriaceae
Description: bacterial LSU rRNA
Rfam family: Bacterial large subunit ribosomal RNA
Source: RNAcentral
UUAAGCGACUAAGCGUACACGGUGGAUGCCCUGGCAGUCAGAGGCGAUGAAGGGCGUGCUAAUCUGCGAUAAGCGCCGGUAAGGUGAUAUGAACCGUUAUAACCGACGAUACCCGAAUGGGGAAACCCAGUGUGACUCGUCACACUAUCAUUAACUGAAUCCAUAGGUUAAUGAGGCGAACCGGGGGAACUGAAACAUCUAAGUACCCCGAGGAAAAGAAAUCAACCGAGAUUCCCCCAGUAGCGGCGAGCGAACGGGGAGGAGCCCAGAGCCUGAAUCAGCAUGUGUGUUAGUGGAAGCGUCUGGAAAGGCGCGCGAUACAGGGUGACAGCCCCGUACACAAAAGCGCAUGUGCUGUGAGCUCGAUGAGUAGGGCGGGACACGUGGUAUCCUGUCUGAAUAUGGGGGGACCAUCCUCCAAGGCUAAAUACUCCUGACUGACCGAUAGUGAACCAGUACCGUGAGGGAAAGGCGAAAAGAACCCCGGCGAGGGGAGUGAAAAAGAACCUGAAACCGUGUACGUACAAGCAGUGGGAGCACAGGUUUACCUGUGUGACUGCGUACCUUUUGUAUAAUGGGUCAGCGACUUAUAUUCUGUAGCAAGGUUAACCGAAUAGGGGAGCCGCAGGGAAACCGAGUCUUAAUUGGGCGUUAAGUUGCAGGGUAUAGACCCGAAACCCGGUGAUCUAGCCAUGGGCAGGUUGAAGGUUGGGUAACACUAACUGGAGGACCGAACCGACUAAUGUUGAAAAAUUAGCGGAUGACCUGUGGCUGGGGGUGAAAGGCCAAUCAAACCGGGAGAUAGCUGGUUCUCCCCGAAAGCUAUUUAGGUAGCGCCUCGUGAAUUCAUCUCCGGGGGUAGAGCACUGUUUCGGCUAGGGGGCCAUCCCGGCUUACCAACCCGAUGCAAACUGCGAAUACCGGAGAAUGUUAUCACGGGAGACACACGGCGGGUGCUAACGUCCGUCGUGAAGAGGGAAACAACCCAGACCGCCAGCUAAGGUCCCAAAGUCAUGGUUAAGUGGGAAACGAUGUGGGAAGGCCCAGACAGCCAGGAUGUUGGCUUAGAAGCAGCCAUCAUUUAAAGAAAGCGUAAUAGCUCACUGGUCGAGUCGGCCUGCGCGGAAGAUGUAACGGGGCUAAACCAUGCACCGAAGCUGCGGCAGCGAACGUAUCACUUAAAGCGAUUCAGCGGGUUACGAUUGACGGAGCGAAGCGACGUCAAAGCGUAUACAAAGUCGAGUCGGUUUAAGGAUACGUUCGUUGGGUAGGGGAGCGUUCUGUAAGCCUGCGAAGGUGGCCUGUGAGGGUGGCUGGAGGUAUCAGAAGUGCGAAUGCUGACAUAAGUAACGAUAAAGCGGGUGAAAAGCCCGCUCGCCGGAAGACCAAGGGUUCCUGUCCAACGUUAAUCGGGGCAGGGUGAGUCGACCCCUAAGGCGAGGCCGAAAGGCGUAGUCGAUGGGAAACGGGUUAAUAUUCCCGUACUUGGUGUUACUGCGAAGGGGGGACGGAGAAGGCUAUGUUGGCCGGGCGACGGUUGUCCCGGUUUAAGCGUGUAGGUGUGUGUUCCAGGUAAAUCCGGUUCACUUUAACACUGAGGCGUGACGACGAGGCACUACGGUGCUGAAGCAACAAAUGCCCUGCUUCCAGGAAAAGCCUCUAAGCAUCAGGUAACAUCAAAUCGUACCCCAAACCGACACAGGUGGUCAGGUAGAGAAUACCAAGGCGCUUGAGAGAACUCGGGUGAAGGAACUAGGCAAAAUGGUGCCGUAACUUCGGGAGAAGGCACGCUGACAUGUAGGUGAAGUGAUUUACUCAUGGAGCUGAAGUCAGUCGAAGAUACCAGCUGGCUGCAACUGUUUAUUAAAAACACAGCACUGUGCAAACACGAAAGUGGACGUAUACGGUGUGACGCCUGCCCGGUGCCGGAAGGUUAAUUGAUGGGGUCAGCGCAAGCGAAGCUCCUGAUCGAAGCCCCGGUAAACGGCGGCCGUAACUAUAACGGUCCUAAGGUAGCGAAAUUCCUUGUCGGGUAAGUUCCGACCUGCACGAAUGGCGUAAUGAUGGCCAGGCUGUCUCCACCCGAGACUCAGUGAAAUUGAACUCGCUGUGAAGAUGCAGUGUACCCGCGGCAAGACGGAAAGACCCCGUGAACCUUUACUAUAGCUUGACACUGAACAUUGAGCCUUGAUGUGUAGGAUAGGUGGGAGGCUUUGAAGCGUGGACGCCAGUCUGCGUGGAGCCGACCUUGAAAUACCACCCUUUAAUGUUUGAUGUUCUAACGUGGACCCGUAAUCCGGGUUGCGGACAGUGUCUGGUGGGUAGUUUGACUGGGGCGGUCUCCUCCUAAAGAGUAACGGAGGAGCACGAAGGUUGGCUAAUCCUGGUCGGACAUCAGGAGGUUAGUGCAAUGGCAUAAGCCAGCUUGACUGCGAGCGUGACGGCGCGAGCAGGUGCGAAAGCAGGUCAUAGUGAUCCGGUGGUUCUGAAUGGAAGGGCCAUCGCUCAACGGAUAAAAGGUACUCCGGGGAUAACAGGCUGAUACCGCCCAAGAGUUCAUAUCGACGGCGGUGUUUGGCACCUCGAUGUCGGCUCAUCACAUCCUGGGGCUGAAGUAGGUCCCAAGGGUAUGGCUGUUCGCCAUUUAAAGUGGUACGCGAGCUGGGUUUAGAACGUCGUGAGACAGUUCGGUCCCUAUCUGCCGUGGGCGCUGGAGAACUGAGGGGGGCUGCUCCUAGUACGAGAGGACCGGAGUGGACGCAUCACUGGUGUUCGGGUUGUCAUGCCAAUGGCACUGCCCGGUAGCUAAAUGCGGAAGAGAUAAGUGCUGAAAGCAUCUAAGCACGAAACUUGCCCCGAGAUGAGUUCUCCCUGAGACUUAGAGUCUCCUGAAGGAACGUUGAAGACGACGACGUUGAUAGGCCGGGUGUGUAAGCGCAGCGAUGCGUUGAGCUAACCGGUACUAAUGAACCGUGAGGCUUAACCUU